Molecule: ribosomal RNA, 460 nt
Filed under: uncultured bacterium
Lineage: Bacteria
Description: partial 16S ribosomal RNA
Rfam family: Bacterial small subunit ribosomal RNA
Source: RNAcentral
CCUACGGGAGGCUGCAGUGAGGAAUAUUGGUCAAUGGACGAGAGUCUGAACCAGCCAAGUAGCGUGAAGGAUGACUGCCCUAUGGGUUGUAAACUUCUUUUAUAUGGGAAUAAAAUGUUCCACGUGUGGGAUUUUGUAUGUACCUUAUGAAUAAGGAUCGGCUAACUCCGUGCCAGCAGCCGCGGUAAUACGGAGGAUCCGAGCGUUAUCCGGAUUUAUUGGGUUUAAAGGGAGCGUAGGUGGAUUGUUAAGUCAGUUGUGAAAGUUUGCGGCUCAACCGUAAAAUUGCAGUUGAAACUGGCAGUCUUGAGUACAGUAGAGGUGGGCGGAAUUCGUGGUGUAGCGGUGAAAUGAUUAGAUAUCACGAAGAACUCCGAUUGCGAAGGCAGUUCACUGGACUGCAACUGACACUGAGGCUCGAAAGUGUGGGUAUCAAACAGGAUUAGAUACCCGUGUAGUC